Ictidomys tridecemlineatus (thirteen-lined ground squirrel) is the source of this 1776-nucleotide non-coding RNA. Lineage: Eukaryota; Metazoa; Chordata; Mammalia; Rodentia; Sciuridae. The record is from RefSeq and is a predicted model, not a curated record.
GGCUCCACAAGAUCACAUGCAAAUGAUAAAUACUUAGUGCUGAACAUUAUGUGACAGGUUCCUAUCCUCACACAAGUGACACACUGUUUAGUAUGGGAUGCCAUGAACUCUCUACCUUGCCCUUUCACCAUGCUGUUUUGCUGCAUCUCUGGUUGAGAGCCACGGAGUCGGUGGACCAUGAACUGAACCUCUGAAACCAUGAACCAAAAUACUCUUUUCCUCCUCUAACUUGUUCUGGUCAGAUAUUUUGGUCAAAGUAAUGAAAAGCUUACUUACACAUGAUCAAAACAAACCAAACUCACCACAAAUCCCCCUCUGUAUCUCUCUCUCUCUCUGCGUGUAUAUGUUUGUUUUUGUAUAUAUACUUUAUCUCUAGUGGCUAUUUCUUUGUCUAUAUUAACUUCAUUCUUAGUGAAGAGCCUUUCUUAUAGCAGCCUUCAAAAUAUGUAAGUCUUAAAAACAAGACUUAAAAACAAGAGCCCCAGCCUAAAAUUUUCCACCCAUCCCUAGAAUUUAGUUUCUGUAGUUAAAGACAAGGAGAGCUACUGAGUUAGCACUUUAUCACAUAACGUGGCUUUAAGGAGACAUGUGGCUGAGGGCUUGUAGGUCUCUUGGGAAAGUAGAAGUCUUACUAUAUGAAAAAUGUUAGUGAGUGCUGUGCACACAAAGUAUACUCACAAGAGGGUUGGUAGAUUUUUAUUCUUCCAUUCACAUCAUUUUUUCUUUAAAAUAUUUGCGAUACAAUAUUGGUCAAGGUUGACAUGGUGCUUGUCUCCAUGCAAUAAAUAGACAAGAAAUACAUUAAAAUGAAAAAAAAAACCCAUAAGGCUAUGUGAUUAUAUGAAAGCCUCUUUUCAGACCUCUUAUUCUAUGAAAUUUCACAUGGCAUUCUUUCCUAUAUCUAGUAGCAUAAUUUCCCACUUAGAUACAGCAUUUUCUCUGAUUUCCCACAGAUUGCUGAUCUCAAGCAAAUCUGUACUCUGUGUCUUGUGGGGAGGUCAUUUACCCUGAAGCUACCUUCUGUCAUAUAUGACCAAUACUCAGACAAAAUGAUUUCAGUUCCCAAAACAUCAGUCUGGCACCAUUUGGAAAAAAAUGGGAGCCAAACAAUUACUAUGUUGGUAAUUAAACAACUAAAUUACUUCUUUCUUAGAAAUUUACAUUGUCUGCAUUAGUUAUUUUCUAAAAUUAUUAGUGGGGUUUGUUGACUUAACAAGGGAAAGGGGGUACUACACGUCCUGCCUCUUUUGUUUUUCUAAGACUUGGAUUCUUUUUAACAUUAACAUUGGAGUUUUCCUUAGUAUCUUUAGUACAAUUGUAAUUAUUUUUAUAAUUUUUAAAUGUUCAAAUUUUUGUGAAUUUUGGUAAUGAAAAUGUAUAUUGGAUAUAUAAUUUCAUUCCUAGCCUUUCCUUAUUAGCAUGACUGGAUUAUUAUCUUUUAAUUUUAAUCAAGAUUAAUAUUAUUUGAGAUUAAAAUUACACAGAUUAAUUUCUAAGAUUAGACUGGGAAAGAUUUUGUAAAAAUACAUUAUACUCCUGGUCAGAGUAAAAUUAUAGGGACAAAAAUCACUCUGAUUAGUUACACAGUAGAAUUUUGGUGACAAUAUUUCCUAUUUCCAACUUUUGAUAAGACGGUGGGAGCUUAGUGAGGGAUGGAACAAAAUGUCAAUUUGGCUAAUACAGAACAAUUUUGUAGUUAGUACUUGGCAUAGAAGAUCUGGCAGAUGUAUUUGGAACUAAGAUUUAAUGGAAAUAAUAAAAAAUGUCCAAACUUUA